UACGAAGGAGGCUAGCGUUGCUCGGAAUUACUGGGCGUAAAGGGCGCGUAGGCGGAUAUCUAAGUUGGGGGUGAAAUCCCGGGGCUCAACCUCGGAAUUGCCUUCAAAACUGGGUAUCUUGAGUUCGGGAGAGGUGAGUGGAACUCCGAGUGUAGAGGUGAAAUUCGUAGAUAUUCGGAAGAACACCAGUGGCGAAGGCGACUCACUGGCCCGAUACUGACGCUGAGGCGCGAAAGCGUGGGGAGCAAACAGG
RNAcentral lists this ribosomal RNA (253 nucleotides) under uncultured bacterium. RNAcentral's name for it is "partial 16S ribosomal RNA". It matches the Rfam family "Bacterial small subunit ribosomal RNA", at positions 524 to 776 of the family's 1533-position model. The record is from RNAcentral.